RNAcentral lists this ribosomal RNA (449 nucleotides) under uncultured bacterium. Its description in RNAcentral is "partial 16S ribosomal RNA". It matches the Rfam family "Bacterial small subunit ribosomal RNA", at positions 329 to 795 of the family's 1533-position model. The record is from RNAcentral.
GGCCAGACUCCUACGGGAGGCAGCAGUGGGGAAUAUUGCACAAUGGGGGGAACCCUGAUGCAGCGACGCCGCGUGGGUGAAGGAGCACCUCGGUGCGUAAAGCCCUAUCGGCAGGGAAGAAACAGACGGUACCUGACUAAGAAGCCCCGGAUAACUACGUGCCAGCAGCCGCGGCAAUACGUAGGGGGCAAGCGUUAUCCGGAUUUACUGGGUGUAAAGGGGGCGCAGACGGCGAUGCAAGCCAGGAGUGAAAGCCCGGGGCCCAACCCCGGGACUGCUCUUGGAACUGCGUGGCUACAGUGCAGGAGGGGCAGGCGGAAUUCCUGGUGUAGCGGUGAAAUGCGUAGAUAUCAGGAGGAACACCGGUGGCGAAGGCGGCCUGCUGGACUGCAACUGACGUUGAGGCCCGAAAGCGUGGGGAGCAAACAGGAUUAGAUACCCCAGUAUCA